RNAcentral lists this ribosomal RNA (2911 nucleotides) under Bacillus cereus E33L. RNAcentral describes it as "bacterial LSU rRNA". It matches the Rfam family "Bacterial large subunit ribosomal RNA". Lineage: Bacteria; Bacillati; Bacillota; Bacilli; Caryophanales; Bacillaceae. The record is from RNAcentral.
GGGCGCACGGUGGAUGCCUUGACACUAGGAGUCGAUGAAGGACGGGACUAACGCCGAUAUGCUUCGGGGAGCUGUAAGUAAGCUUUGAUCCGAAGAUUUCCGAAUGGGGAAACCCACCAUACGUAAUGGUAUGGUAUCCUUAUCUGAAUACAUAGGGUAAGGAAGACAGACCCAGGGAACUGAAACAUCUAAGUACCUGGAGGAAGAGAAAGCAAAUGCGAUUUCCUGAGUAGCGGCGAGCGAAACGGAACAUAGCCCAAACCAAGAGGCUUGCCUCUUGGGGUUGUAGGACAUUCUAUACGGAGUUACAAAGGAACGAGGUAGACGAAGCGACCUGGAAAGGUCCGUCGUAGAGGGUAACAACCCCGUAGUCGAAACUUCGUUCUCUCUUGAAUGUAUCCUGAGUACGGCGGAACACGUGAAAUUCCGUCGGAAUCUGGGAGGACCAUCUCCCAAGGCUAAAUACUCCCUAGUGAUCGAUAGUGAACCAGUACCGUGAGGGAAAGGUGAAAAGCACCCCGGAAGGGGAGUGAAAGAGAUCCUGAAACCGUGUGCCUACAAAUAGUCAGAGCCCGUUAACGGGUGAUGGCGUGCCUUUUGUAGAAUGAACCGGCGAGUUACGAUCCCGUGCAAGGUUAAGCUGAAGAGGCGGAGCCGCAGCGAAAGCGAGUCUGAAUAGGGCGUUUAGUACGUGGUCGUAGACCCGAAACCAGGUGAUCUACCCAUGUCCAGGGUGAAGUUCAGGUAACACUGAAUGGAGGCCCGAACCCACGCACGUUGAAAAGUGCGGGGAUGAGGUGUGGGUAGCGGAGAAAUUCCAAUCGAACCUGGAGAUAGCUGGUUCUCCCCGAAAUAGCUUUAGGGCUAGCCUUAAGUGUAAGAGUCUUGGAGGUAGAGCACUGAUUGGACUAGGGGUCCUCAUCGGAUUACCGAAUUCAGUCAAACUCCGAAUGCCAAUGACUUAUCCUUAGGAGUCAGACUGCGAGUGAUAAGAUCCGUAGUCAAAAGGGAAACAGCCCAGACCGCCAGCUAAGGUCCCAAAGUGUGUAUUAAGUGGAAAAGGAUGUGGAGUUGCUUAGACAACUAGGAUGUUGGCUUAGAAGCAGCCACCAUUUAAAGAGUGCGUAAUAGCUCACUAGUCGAGUGACUCUGCGCCGAAAAUGUACCGGGGCUAAAUACACCACCGAAGCUGCGGAUUGAUACCAAUGGUAUCAGUGGUAGGGGAGCGUUCUAAGGACAGUGAAGUCAGACCGGAAGGACUGGUGGAGUGCUUAGAAGUGAGAAUGCCGGUAUGAGUAGCGAAAGACGGGUGAGAAUCCCGUCCACCGAAUGCCUAAGGUUUCCUGAGGAAGGCUCGUCCGCUCAGGGUUAGUCAGGACCUAAGCCGAGGCCGACAGGCGUAGGCGAUGGACAACAGGUUGAUAUUCCUGUACCACCUCUUUAUCGUUUGAGCAAUGGAGGGACGCAGAAGGAUAGAAGAAGCGUGCGAUUGGUUGUGCACGUCCAAGCAGUUAGGCUGAUAAGUAGGCAAAUCCGCUUAUCGUGAAGGCUGAGCUGUGAUGGGGAAGCUCCUUAUGGAGCGAAGUCUUUGAUUCCCCGCUGCCAAGAAAAGCUUCUAGCGAGAUAAAAGGUGCCUGUACCGCAAACCGACACAGGUAGGCGAGGAGAGAAUCCUAAGGUGUGCGAGAGAACUCUGGUUAAGGAACUCGGCAAAAUGACCCCGUAACUUCGGGAGAAGGGGUGCUUUCUUAACGGAAAGCCGCAGUGAAUAGGCCCAAGCGACUGUUUAGCAAAAACACAGCUCUCUGCGAAGCCGUAAGGCGAAGUAUAGGGGGUGACACCUGCCCGGUGCUGGAAGGUUAAGGAGAGGGGUUAGCGUAAGCGAAGCUCUGAACUGAAGCCCCAGUAAACGGCGGCCGUAACUAUAACGGUCCUAAGGUAGCGAAAUUCCUUGUCGGGUAAGUUCCGACCCGCACGAAAGGUGUAACGAUUUGGGCACUGUCUCAACCAGAGACUCGGUGAAAUUAUAGUACCUGUGAAGAUGCAGGUUACCCGCGACAGGACGGAAAGACCCCGUGGAGCUUUACUGUAGCCUGAUAUUGAAUUUUGGUACAGUUUGUACAGGAUAGGCGGGAGCCUUUGAAACCGGAGCGCUAGCUUCGGUGGAGGCGCUGGUGGGAUACCGCCCUGACUGUAUUGAAAUUCUAACCUACGGGUCUUAUCGACCCGGGAGACAGUGUCAGGUGGGCAGUUUGACUGGGGCGGUCGCCUCCUAAAGUGUAACGGAGGCGCCCAAAGGUUCCCUCAGAAUGGUUGGAAAUCAUUCGUAGAGUGCAAAGGCAUAAGGGAGCUUGACUGCGAGACCUACAAGUCGAGCAGGGACGAAAGUCGGGCUUAGUGAUCCGGUGGUUCCGCAUGGAAGGGCCAUCGCUCAACGGAUAAAAGCUACCCCGGGGAUAACAGGCUUAUCUCCCCCAAGAGUCCACAUCGACGGGGAGGUUUGGCACCUCGAUGUCGGCUCAUCGCAUCCUGGGGCUGUAGUCGGUCCCAAGGGUUGGGCUGUUCGCCCAUUAAAGCGGUACGCGAGCUGGGUUCAGAACGUCGUGAGACAGUUCGGUCCCUAUCCGUCGUGGGCGUAGGAAAUUUGAGAGGAGCUGUCCUUAGUACGAGAGGACCGGGAUGGACGCACCGCUGGUGUACCAGUUGUUCUGCCAAGGGCAUAGCUGGGUAGCUAUGUGCGGAAGGGAUAAGUGCUGAAAGCAUCUAAGCAUGAAGCCCCCCUCAAGAUGAGAUUUCCCAUAGCGUAAGCUAGUAAGAUCCCUGAAAGAUGAUCAGGUUGAUAGGUUCGAGGUGGAAGCAUGGUGACAUGUGGAGCUGACGAAUACUAAUAGAUCGAGGACUUAACCAUAUA